This 253-nucleotide ribosomal RNA is filed under the name uncultured bacterium. RNAcentral's name for it is "partial 16S ribosomal RNA". It matches the Rfam family "Bacterial small subunit ribosomal RNA", at positions 524 to 776 of the family's 1533-position model. The record is from RNAcentral.
UACGUAGGGGGCUAGCGUUGUCCGGAUUUAUUGGGCGUAAAGGGCUCGUAGGUGGCCAACUAAGUCAGACGUGAAAUCCCUCAGCUUAACUGGGGAACUGCGUCUGAUACUGGAUGGCUUGAGUUUGGGAGAGGGAUGCGGAAUUCCAGGUGUAGCGGUGAAAUGCGUAGAUAUCUGGAGGAACACCGGUGGCGAAGGCGGCAUCCUGGACCAACACUGACACUGAGGAGCGAAAGCCAGGGGAGCAAACGGG